Molecule: small RNA, 431 nt
Filed under: Malus domestica (apple)
Lineage: Eukaryota; Viridiplantae; Streptophyta; Magnoliopsida; Rosales; Rosaceae
Description: sRNA MD17G0139900
Source: RNAcentral
GAGAGGGGAGGAUUUGAGAGAGAGAGAGAGACAGACAGACAGAGGAGUUCAGAAAGAGAGAGGACAGAGAGGGAGUGAUAGCAGAGAGGCUUUGAGUGUUGCACGGCACGAGGAGGAAGAAAGAAGACGAGUCUGAGGGUUAUACAUUUUAAAUCUUUACCUGGCGGAUCGGGCGACGGAGUACGCGGCGGGAGAGCCGCUAUCGCUGUGCUAGAAUACCUCGCCGCUGAGUUUGAUUGGUUAAGAUUUUCAUGUUUAUUGGCAUUGUGUUGGAGCGAGUGCCCUUUUGAAAUUUCAUUUUUUUUUCUUUCUGUUUCUCAUUAAUUUUCUUAAUCUCUAAUUUUUAGAUUUUUAGUAGAAAAAAGAAAAAGAAAAAGGAAAAUAAAAUUGAGGUUGUAGAUUAUUGGUAUAUAAAAAUUUUGUAAUUUUUU